RNAcentral lists this ribosomal RNA (254 nucleotides) under uncultured bacterium. RNAcentral describes it as "partial 16S ribosomal RNA". It matches the Rfam family "Bacterial small subunit ribosomal RNA", at positions 524 to 776 of the family's 1533-position model. The record is from RNAcentral.
UACGAACCGUGCGAACGUUAUUCGGAAUCACUGGGCUUAAAGCGCGUGUAGGCGGGACGGCACGUCGGUCGUCGAAAUCCCCCGGCUCAACCGGGGAACGGGCGCCGAUACGACCGUCCUGGAGGGACGUAGGGGGACCUGGAACUUCCGGUGGAGCGGUGAAAUGCGUUGAGAUCGGAAGGAACGCCCGUGGCGAAAGCGAGGUCCUGGACGUUUUCUGACGCUGAGACGCGAAAGCCAGGGGAGCGAACGGG